RNAcentral lists this signal recognition particle RNA (100 nucleotides) under Planctomycetota bacterium. RNAcentral describes it as "Planctomycetes bacterium signal recognition particle sRNA small type". It matches the Rfam family "Bacterial small signal recognition particle RNA". Rfam says of the family: The signal recognition particle (SRP) is a universally conserved ribonucleoprotein involved in the co-translational targeting of proteins to membranes. Lineage: Bacteria; Pseudomonadati; Planctomycetota. The record is from RNAcentral.
GGUUCGGCGUUGCGCAGCGGAAACCGCGUGAAUCGGGUCAGGCCAGGAAUGGAGCAGCCCUAAGCAUGGUUUUCCGGGUGCCGCAGCUGUCCGGACCUCC